GACUUCUUCCUCAGGAGCACAGUGUGACUCGUCCUGCGUGUUCCACUCACUUCCUGCAAGAAUGGCAGCAAUGCAGGUAAUCCACGGUGGAAGCGAGGCCAUGGGAAGGAUUUGACACUUGACAACUUUAGGCCUCGUGCCUAACCUACGGCUACAAGACAAGACGUGCCAUGGCCACAUAAAAGAGCCACAAAGGAGUCUACACAUCACGAGCUCUCUGCUACCGACAUCACCUUCAGAGCUGAGUGUGUGACUGCAGCUGUUUGAUGAAGAGACUUCUGUUGGAGGAGGAAGAGACGAUUAGAAGGUUAAUUGAACACGUCUUUGUCAUACGUCUGUGGACACCAACUUUCUUCCAACAUAAACACUCUUCAAGUAGUUUUUAUACUUCUGCUUUCACAAGGGCUGUCAAAGUUAUUAACGCCUUAACUAUACAUUUCAAUAACGGCACUCUUUUUUUUUUUUUAACAGGCGAAUAACGCAAACUCU
Non-coding RNA from Nerophis lumbriciformis (worm pipefish), 489 nucleotides. The record is from RefSeq and is a predicted model, not a curated record. NCBI's taxonomy places the organism in Eukaryota, Metazoa, Chordata, Actinopteri, Syngnathiformes, Syngnathidae.